GACGAACGCUGGCGGCGUGCUUAACACAUGCAAGUCGAACGGAAAGGCCCUGCUUUUGUGGGGUGCUCGAGUGGCGAACGGGUGAGUAACACGUGAGUAACCUGCCCUUGACUUUGGGAUAACUUCAGGAAACUGGGGCUAAUACCGGAUAGGAGCUCCUGCUGCAUGGUGGGGGUUGGAAAGUUUCGGCGGUUGGGGAUGGACUCGCGGCUUAUCAGCUUGUUGGUGGGGUAGUGGCUUACCAAGGCUUUGACGGGUAGCCGGCCUGAGAGGGUGACCGGCCACAUGGGGACUGAGAUACGGCCCAGACUCCUACGGGAGGCAGCGGUGGGGAAUAUUGCACAAUGGGCGGAAGCCUGAUGCAGCAACGCCGCGUGCGGGAUGACGGCCUUCGGGUUGUAAACCGCUUUCGCCUGUGACGAAGCGUGAGUGACGGUAAUGGGUAAAGAAGCACCGGCUAACUACGU
This 467-nucleotide ribosomal RNA is filed under the name uncultured bacterium. Its description in RNAcentral is "partial 16S ribosomal RNA". It matches the Rfam family "Bacterial small subunit ribosomal RNA", at positions 28 to 506 of the family's 1533-position model. The record is from RNAcentral.